UUCCGGUUGAUCCCGCCGGACCCUACUGCUAUCGGGGUGGGACUAAGACAUGCGAGUUGAGCGUCUCUAAGCCAUGGUAGAGACGCGGCGUACGGCUCAGUAACACGUGGCUAACCUACCCUUAGGACGGGGACAACCCCGGGAAACUGGGGCUAAUACCCGAUAGGCGAGGAGGCCUGGAAUGGUUCUUAGUCGAAAAGGCGUUGAAACCAUGCUUUUCGACGUUGCCUAAGGAUGGGGCCGCGCCCGAUCAGGUUGUUGGUGGGGUAACGGCUCACCAAGCCUAUAACCGGUACGGGCCGUGAGAGCGGGAGCCCGGAGAUGGGCACUGAGACAAGGGCCCAGGCCCUACGGGGCGCAGCAGUCGCGAAAACUCCGCAAUGCGCGAAAGCGUGACGGGGCUACCCCGAGUGCCGUCCGCUGAGGAUGGCUUUUCCCCGGUGUAAUGAGCCGGGGGAAUAAGGAGAGGGCAAGUCUGGUGUCAGCCGCCGCGGUAAUACCAGCUCUCCGAGUGGUAGGGAUGAUUAUUGGGCUUAAAGCGUCCGUAGCCGGCUUAGCAAGUCUCCUGUUAAAUUCAGCGACCUAAUCGUUGAGCCGCGGGAGAUACUACUAGGCUAGGAGGCGGGAGAGGCCGACGGUAUUCUCGGGGUAGGGGUGAAAUCCUAUAAUCCCGGGAGGACCACCAGUGGCGAAGGCUGUCGGCUAGAACGCGCUCGACGGUGAGGGACGAAAGCUGGGGGAGCGAACCGGAUUAGAUACCCGGGUAGUCCCAGCUGUAAACGAUGCGGGCUAGGUGCUGGGGUGGCUACGAGCCACUUCAGUGCCGCAGGGAAGCCAUUAAGCCCGCCGCCUGGGGAGUACGGCCGCAAGGCUGAAACUUAAAGGAAUUGGCGGGGGAGCACCACAAGGCGUGAAGCUUGCGGUUCAAUUGGAUUCAACGCCGGG
Molecule: ribosomal RNA, 945 nt
Filed under: uncultured archaeon
Lineage: Archaea
Description: bacterial SSU rRNA
Rfam family: Archaeal small subunit ribosomal RNA
Source: RNAcentral